Molecule: ribosomal RNA, 848 nt
Filed under: uncultured bacterium
Lineage: Bacteria
Description: bacterial SSU rRNA
Rfam family: Bacterial small subunit ribosomal RNA
Source: RNAcentral
AGAGUUUGAUUCUGGCUCAGGAUGAACGCCGGCGGUGUGCCUAAUACAUGCAAGUCGUACGCACUGGCCCAACUGAUUGAUGGUGCUUGCACCUGAUUGACGUUGGAUCACCAGUGAGUGGCGGACGGGUGAGUAACACGUAGGUAACCUGCCCCGGAGCGGGGGAUAACAUUUGGAAACAGAUGCUAAUACCGCAUAACAACAAAAGCCACAUGGCUUUUGUUUGAAAGAUGGCUUUGGCUAUCACUCUGGGAUGGACCUGCGGUGCAUUAGCUAGUUGGUAAGGUAACGGCUUACCAAGGCGAUGACGCAUAGCCGAAUUGAGAGACUGAUCGGCCACAAUGGAACUGAGACACGGUCCAUAUUCCUACGGGAGGCAGCAGUAGAGAAUCUUCCACUAUGGGCGCAAGCCUGAUGGAGCAACACCGCGUGAGUGAAGAAGGGUUUCGGCUCGUAAAGCUCUGUUGUUGGAGAAGAACGUGCGUGAGAGUAACUGUUCACGCAGUGACGGUAUCCAACCAGAAAGUCACGGCUAACUACGUGCCAGCAGCCGCGGUAAUACGUAGGUGGCAAGCGUUAUCCGGAUUUAUUGGGCGUAAAGCGAGCGCAGGCGGUUGCUUAGGUCUGAUGUGAAAGCCUUCGGCUCAACCGGAGAAUUGCAUCAGAAACUGUUGAACUUGAGUGCAGAAGAGGAGAGUGGAACUCCAUGUGUAGCGGUGGAAUGCGUAGAUAUAUGGAAGAACACCAGUGGCGAAGGCGGCUCUCUGGUCUGCAACUGACGCUGAGGCUCGAAAGCAUGGGUAGCGAACAGGAUUAGAUACCCUGGUAGUCCAUGCCGUAAACGAUGA